This 696-nucleotide ribosomal RNA is filed under the name uncultured bacterium. RNAcentral's name for it is "bacterial SSU rRNA". It matches the Rfam family "Bacterial small subunit ribosomal RNA", at positions 32 to 715 of the family's 1533-position model. The record is from RNAcentral.
AACGCUAGCUACAGGCUUAACACAUGCAAGUCGAGGGGAAACGAUAUUGGAAGCUUGCUUCCGAUAGGCGUCGACCGGCGCACGGGUGAGUAACGCGUAUCCAACCUGCCCACCACUUGGGGAUAACCUUGCGAAAGUAAGACUAAUACCCAAUGACGUCUCUAGAAGACAUCUGAAAGAGAUUAAAGAUUUAUCGGUGAUGGAUGGGGAUGCGUCUGAUUAGCUUGUUGGCGGGGUAACGGCCCACCAAGGCGACGAUCAGUAGGGGUUCUGAGAGGAAGGUCCCCCACAUUGGAACUGAGACACGGUCCAAACUCCUACGGGAGGCAGCAGUGAGGAAUAUUGGUCAAUGGGCGAGAGCCUGAACCAGCCAAGUAGCGUGCAGGAUGACGGCCCUAUGGGUUGUAAACUGCUUUUAUAAGGGAAUAAAGUUAGUCUCGUGAGACUUUUUGCAUGUACCUUAUGAAUAAGGACCGGCUAAUUCCGUGCCAGCAGCCGCGGUAAUACGGAAGGUCCGGGCGUUAUCCGGAUUUAUUGGGUUUAAAGGGAGCGUAGGCCGGAGAUUAAGCGUGUUGUGAAAUGUAGGCGCUCAACGUCUGCACUGCAGCGCGAACUGGUUUCCUUGAGUACGCACAAAGUGGGCGGAAUUCGUGGUGUAGCGGUGAAAUGCUUAGAUAUCACGAAGAACUCCGAUUG